ACGAUCAGCGUUGUCAUGCCGUUGGCUUCUACACCUAUAAUGCUUUCAUAGCGGCUGCAAAGACUUUUCCUGCCUUCGCUACAACUGGCGAUGAUGCCACUCGUAAGAGGGAAGUUGCUGCUUUCAUGGGCCAAACUUCCCAUGAAACUACUGGUUAGUCCUAUUUUGAAAGUUAAUAAUAGUAAUAACUUACCAUCUUUUCAACAUGGCUAAUAUGCUAACAAUUCUCAAAAAACAUUAUCAUCUUAACAAUUAAUUUGAUGAUGCUGUAGGUGGACCAGGUUGGGAUGCACCCGGUGGUCCAUAUUUGUGGGGAUACUGCUACAAUAAGGAAGUAAACCCCGCUUCAGAUUACUGCGAUUGGACAAACCUAGAAUACCCUUGUGCAUCUGG
Molecule: long non-coding RNA, 393 nt
Filed under: Durio zibethinus
Lineage: Eukaryota; Viridiplantae; Streptophyta; Magnoliopsida; Malvales; Malvaceae
Description: long non-coding RNA (DZIB_LNC000708)
Source: RNAcentral